This 208-nucleotide long non-coding RNA is filed under the name Nicotiana benthamiana. RNAcentral describes it as "long non-coding RNA (NBEN_LNC035606)". The record is from RNAcentral. Lineage: Eukaryota; Viridiplantae; Streptophyta; Magnoliopsida; Solanales; Solanaceae.
UACCUCAACACUUUCCAAAACUUUCGCCUUCCCUUUUUCUCUCUUUUUCUUCCUACUUUCUUCUAGUGCUUUCUGCAACUCUUACUCACUUUGUUUGACCCUGCUUCUAGUUGCUUUUCCCUUUGAUAAUGAAUAGACAGUAGACUUAGGAGAUGACACUUUGCUUUUCUUUGUUGGUUUGGAAGCAGUUGGAGCUUUUAGGGAAGAA